AGAAGAAUAUUGAGGGAGAAACGUUGAUCUCAAUAUAUCCAAACUAGAAAACUAGAAAGAAAAAAAGAACUCUGUGAACUGAAACAUCUUAGUAACAGAAGGAAAAGAAAUCAAACGAGAUUAGGUAAGUAGCGGUGAGCGAAAAUCUAAAAGCAAAAAAGACGAAAGAAAAGCGAAAACCAGAGAAGGUGAGAGACCUGUAGCAGAAUAGAGUAGUCAAAAAAAGAAGUAGAAUGCGAAAGUGUUUGAAGCUUGAGAAAGCAAAGGAGAACCAUAAAAAGAAACUUCAAAAGCUAAAUAUAAUCAAAACACCGAUAGUGAAAGAGUAACGUGAGUGAAAGCUGAAAAAGAUAUGCAAGGCAAAGUGAAAGAGAACAUAGAAAUAGGAUAUGAAAAAGCACUCAAUAAAAUGAGGUACCUUUUGUAUAAUGGAUUUGCAAGUUAUUAUUAUUAGCAAGUUUAAGUAACUAUGAAAGUACGAAGACGUAGGGAAACCGAGUCUAAAAAGGGCGAAAAGUUAAUAAUAAUAAGACCCGAAACCAAGUGAUCUUUCCAUGACCAGUAGGAAAAUCUGGUAAAACGGAUUGGAGGGACGAACCUGUAGCUGUUACAAAAGCUUAGGAUGAGUUGUGGAAAGGGGUGAAAGGCCAAUCGAACUUGGAGAUAGCUGGUUUUCUGCGAAAUAUAUUUAGGUAUAGCGUUUAAUAAAAUUAUUAUACGGUAAUGCAAUGAUUUGGUAUUUGGUGUUGCAAAGCAAUAUACUUUAUCGAGUUAACCACAGAAUGUAUAAUAAAAGAGUAUUAAGCAGACAGACUUUUGGCGAUAAGGUCGUAAGUCAAAAGGGAAACAGCCCUAAACAUAAGUUAAGGUCAUAAAUAUUUUUCUAAGUGCGAAAAGACAGUUUUAUUACGAUUACAACUAAUAAGUAGGCUUGGAAACAGCCAUCUUUUAAAGAAAACGUAACAGUUCAUUAGAAUAAAUGUAAGAAAGCGCUAAAAAUUAGGGUGACUAAAGAAAAAAACCGAAACUAUGUAGAGAAGGUAGCAGAACGUCUUGUAAGAAAGAAAAUUGAAAAAUGAAAACAAGAGUGACAAUGCAAAUAUGAGUAACGUUAACAUUUUUGAAAUAAAAAUGCACCGAAAGUUCAAGGUUUCCAACUCACUGAUAAACAUAGUUGGGUGUAUCUGUCCCUAAGAUUGAACCAAAAGGGAUAAUCGAUGGGUGUCUCUAUAAAGACUUUAUAAUGAAUAAACAAGAAAUAAUAUAGAGAAUCUAAUAAAAGAAAUACAGAACUAAAACUGACACAAGUGAACGGGUAGAGAAUACUAAGGUGAUAGUUGAAAUAUCUUUAGGGAACUCGGCAAAAUGUAUCCGUAAGUUAGCGAGAAGGAUAGUAAUGACAGCAAAUUGCUUAGGCUGACUGUUUACCAAAAACACAACUUUUAGCAAACAUGAAAAUGGAGGUAUUAAAAGUGACCCCUGCCCAGUGAUUGUAUCUAAAAUUUGAAGGUAAAAGCCUUUAAUAUAAGGACAAUUAAAUGGCUGCGGUAACCAUGACCGUACUAAGGUAGCGCAAUCAAUAGCCAAUUAAUUGUUGGCAUGUAUGAAUGGGGUAACAAGCUUAAGACUGUCCCAAAGAUAUGACUAGUGAAAUUGAAUUCUGAGUUAAGAUGCUCCGUAUGUUGUCGCAAGACAAGAAGACCCUACGCAGCUUUACUGUUAUUAUUUAUUGACAAAAAUCAUAUUAUGUAUAGAAUAUUAGGGAAUCUUUUAUAGAAUAUACGCCAGUAUAUUAA
Molecule: ribosomal RNA, 1796 nt
Filed under: Branchiostoma floridae (Florida lancelet)
Lineage: Eukaryota; Metazoa; Chordata; Leptocardii; Amphioxiformes; Branchiostomatidae
Description: bacterial LSU rRNA
Rfam family: Bacterial large subunit ribosomal RNA
Source: RNAcentral